UUUACCACUUUUUCAGCAAAAUCCUUCAUCGAAAUAUCAUCAUCAACACUAAACAACCACCCAUUAACCUGCAACCAAAUCUUUCAAUCUAAAAAAUCAAAAUUACAAACUCAUAUCCUACAACUGGUUUGACAGUAACGAAGGUUUUCAGCAUGAUCUGAAAUAGGUCUAUGAACUUCACUUCCUUUUUUAAAUCUUCCACUGAAAAUCUACUCGUUGGUUUUGGGAUACAAACCAUUUCUUGGGACACAAUGGUUAAAGCUUCAAAAGCUCUUUAAGAUGUUCAGCCUGAGCUUGAAAAACUUUGGCAGAAAGCAGUCUCAAAGGUGUUUGACUUCAUCGUUCAGAAAUUCUAUAUAUGCAUUGAGAAAACCCAAAACAAAUAUUCAAAUACUUCAGCAAAGUGUCCUUUUAAAGUACAAGUAUGUUGUGAACUUCCUCAAGGAACAUACCACCAUCCCCAGUUCUGCUUUUGGCACGGGUUCUUUCAAUGUCCAUGCGAGAGGCUCAGUUGACUUGUCAACUUUUGGAGAUAAGUAAGCAGAUAGAACUGUUUCACUUGGAAAAGAAGAAGGAAUGAUUGCCGCUGCGAUUUGAUCGGAGAAGAGUGGAGGAAGGUGUAUGAAGAAGACUAAAUAUGGAGAUGUAUGAAGGGAAAUUAGAAUUUCAAAUGCUAUUGCCACCUAAGCCAAUGGGUCAAAGCCCAGUCAGCAUGUGGAGUAAAAGGGUGUGGUAAAAGUUGAUUAAAACUUUUAUAAGGGUGUCUUCGUAAAAAAAUAACUUCAAGGGGGCAAAAUCAAAUCUCGCUCUAAUGGCAAGGGGGUGUCAUAUAUUUAACCCUAUAUAUUUUUUACUCACACAAGUUCUAACCUUCUUAUUCAAAUCCACCAAAAGAAAAGAUGAUAUACCAUUAAUUAAAGUAACCAAUUUGUGUAUAUGACUAAUAUUUAUAAAGUUUUGGCCAAUGCAU
This is a long non-coding RNA of Vicia villosa (hairy vetch), 970 nucleotides long. RefSeq lists it as uncharacterized. Lineage: Eukaryota; Viridiplantae; Streptophyta; Magnoliopsida; Fabales; Fabaceae. The transcript is spliced from 3 exons. The record is from RefSeq and is a predicted model, not a curated record.